GGGAGAUGGAAGAUUUCUCUGCUCUCCCUCCCCGCUACUGAGAAGCAUAGGGUCUAAAAAGUACAUUAGGUUGUAGAUUUGUUUGAUGAAGAUCAUGAGCAGUC
Long non-coding RNA from Ochotona curzoniae (black-lipped pika), 104 nucleotides. RefSeq lists it as uncharacterized. The transcript is spliced from 3 exons. The record is from RefSeq and is a predicted model, not a curated record. Lineage: Eukaryota; Metazoa; Chordata; Mammalia; Lagomorpha; Ochotonidae.